GAUGAACGCUGGCGGCGUGCCUAAUACAUGCAAGUCGAGCGAACAGACGAGGAGCUUGCUCCUCUGACGUUAGCGGCGGACGGGUGAGUAACACGUGGAUAACCUACCUAUAAGACUGGGAUAACUUCGGGAAACCGGAGCUAAUACCGGAUAAUAUAUUGAACCGCAUGGUUCAAUAGUGAAAGACGGUUUUGCUGUCACUUAUAGAUGGAUCCGCGCCGCAUUAGCUAGUUGGUAAGGUAACGGCUUACCAAGGCAACGAUGCGUAGCCGACCUGAGAGGGUGAGCGGCACCACGGGAACUGAGACACGGCCCAGCCUCCGAGGGGAGGCAGAAGUAGGGAAUCUUCCGAAAGGGGCAAAGGCGGGACGGAGCAACGCCGGGGGAGUGAUGAAGGUCUUCGGAUAGAAAAACUCUUUUAUAAGGGAAAAAAAAAUGUGAAAGAAACUAGGCACGUCUGGAGGGACCCAAAUAAGAAAAACAGGACAAACUCGGGC
This 497-nucleotide ribosomal RNA is filed under the name uncultured bacterium. Its description in RNAcentral is "partial 16S ribosomal RNA". It matches the Rfam family "Bacterial small subunit ribosomal RNA", at positions 28 to 508 of the family's 1533-position model. The record is from RNAcentral.